Molecule: ribosomal RNA, 253 nt
Filed under: uncultured bacterium
Lineage: Bacteria
Description: partial 16S ribosomal RNA
Rfam family: Bacterial small subunit ribosomal RNA
Source: RNAcentral
UACGUAAGGUGCGAGCGUUGUCCGGAAUUAUUGGGCGUAAAGAGCUUGUAGGCGGUUUGUCGCGUCUGCUGUGAAAAUCCGGGGCUCAACCCCGGACUUGCAGUGGGUACGGGCAGACUAGAGUGUGGUAGGGGAGACUGGAAUUCCUGGUGUAGCGGUGAAAUGCGCAGAUAUCAGGAGGAACACCGAUGGCGAAGGCAGGUCUCUGGGCCACUACUGACGCUGAGAAGCGAAAGCAUGGGGAGCAAACAGG